This 265-nucleotide ribosomal RNA is filed under the name uncultured bacterium. RNAcentral describes it as "partial 16S ribosomal RNA". It matches the Rfam family "Bacterial small subunit ribosomal RNA", at positions 793 to 1055 of the family's 1533-position model. The record is from RNAcentral.
GUCCACGCCGUAAACUAUGGAUGCUAGCCGUCGGCAAGCUUGCUUGUCGGUGGCGCAGCUAACGCAUUAAGCAUCCCGCCUGGGGAGUACGGCCGCAAGGUUAAAACUCAAAGGAAUUGACGGGGGCCCCGCACAAGCGGUGGAGCAUGUGGUUUAAUUCGACGCAACGCGAAGAACCUUACCAGCUCUUGACAUGUCCGGUCGGUUUCCAGAAAUGGGAUCCUCCUAGCAAUAGGUCGGAACACAGGUGCUGCAUGGCUGUCGU